This 506-nucleotide ribosomal RNA is filed under the name uncultured Glomus. Its description in RNAcentral is "SSU rRNA". It matches the Rfam family "Eukaryotic small subunit ribosomal RNA", at positions 569 to 1077 of the family's 1831-position model. Lineage: Eukaryota; Fungi; Glomeromycota; Glomeromycetes; Glomerales; Glomeraceae. The record is from RNAcentral.
AGCAGCCGCGGUAAUUCCAGCUCCAAUAGCGUAUAUUAAAGUUGUCGCAGUUAAAAAGCUCGUAGUUGAAUUUCGGGAUCAGUACGCCGGUCGUGCCUCCGGUAUGUACUGGUGUCACUGAUUCCUCCCUUCUGAAGAACCAUCAUGCCAUUCACUUGGUGUGGUGGGGAAUCAGGACUGUUACUUUGAAAAAAUUAGAGUGUUUAAAGCAGGCUCACGCUUGAAUACAUUAGCAUGGAAUAAUGAAAUAGGACGUUGAUCCUAUUUUGUUGGUUUCUAGGAUUGACGUAAUGAUUAAUAGGGAUAGUUGGGGGCAUUAGUAUUCAAUUGUCAGAGGUGAAAUUCUUGGAUUUAUUGAAGACUAACUACUGCGAAAGCAUUUGCCAAGGAUGUUUUCAUUAAUCAAGAACGAAAGUUAGGGGAUCGAAGACGAUCAGAUACCGUCGUAGUCUUAACCAUAAACUAUGCCGACUAGGGAUCGGAUGAUGUUAAUUUUUUAAUGACUC